This is a long non-coding RNA of Trifolium pratense (red clover), 601 nucleotides long. RefSeq lists it as uncharacterized. The record is from RefSeq and is a predicted model, not a curated record. The transcript has 2 exons. Lineage: Eukaryota; Viridiplantae; Streptophyta; Magnoliopsida; Fabales; Fabaceae.
UAUCUUCUCUUCUCUCUAUUUUCUCUGCCCUCUUUGUACGUAUCACUAUUUCUAAUUUUCUUCUUCUUCAAAUUCGGGAAAAGGAUGAAAUAUCCAUUUCUCCCGUUCUUGAAUUUUUGUUUCUAUUGAUAGACACACACAUGGUUUAAAUUUGAAAAGGAGUGAAUUUUCUCUCUUUCUGAUAAUUUUUCUUUUUGUUUCUAUAAUUACUCUAGAAGGAAGUAAAUCAAAGGCACAAUCAGAAGAAACAUGGAGGCGAUUCAUAUUGAAAUUGAAACGCGGUGCAGUUGCCAGCAUCAAUGCGGCAAACAAUGUCUCACUACGCUGGCCCUUGAGAAUUUAAGACGACCGGAAUAAAGAAUACAAGAUGGGAAAGGACUUGCCCGCACCGUAUUUUCAUCAUUUUUGUUUAUUGAGAAGAAAACUACUUCUCUUUCACUCUCUUUUUGUUUCUGAUUAUUUUGUGUGGUUGUUUUCUUUAGGUUUUACAGGUUCUAUGAGUUGGUUUCAAAUUAAAGUUUGUGACUUAUGCCGAUUGCAAGUACUCAAAGUGUAUCUAUUCUUCGCAUAAAUUUGUUUAGGGAUAGUGGAUUUUUUUCUA